CAUGCAAGUCGAGCGCCUCGCAAGAGGAGCGGCAGACGGGUGAGUAACGCGUGGGAAUCUACCCAUCUCUACGGAACAACUCCGGGAAACUGGAGCUAAUACCGUAUACGUCCUUCGGGAGAAAGAUUUAUCGGGNAUGGAUGAGCCCGCGUUGGAUUAGCUAGUUGGUGGGGUAAUGGCCUACCAAGGCGACGAUCCAUAGCUGGUCUGAGAGGAUGAUCAGCCACACUGGGACUGAGACACGGCCCAGACUCCUACGG
Molecule: ribosomal RNA, 260 nt
Filed under: Rhizobium sp. CIAM1416
Lineage: Bacteria; Pseudomonadati; Pseudomonadota; Alphaproteobacteria; Hyphomicrobiales; Rhizobiaceae
Description: partial 16S ribosomal RNA
Rfam family: Bacterial small subunit ribosomal RNA
Source: RNAcentral